This is a long non-coding RNA of Phyllostomus discolor (pale spear-nosed bat), 150 nucleotides long. RefSeq lists it as uncharacterized. NCBI's taxonomy places the organism in Eukaryota, Metazoa, Chordata, Mammalia, Chiroptera, Phyllostomidae. The transcript is spliced from 3 exons. The record is from RefSeq and is a predicted model, not a curated record.
UGCAGGACAAGUACUUUAUUGAAGCAAGACUUUGAAAUCUUCCCAUUCUCUGGGGGUGAUCAGGCCAUGCUUGAAUGACAGAGGCUCUCGUGUGUAAGAUUUUUAAAGUCUAGUUGUUAUAUAUGGACUCUAUGUCACUCAGAGCAUUUG